AGUUUUGCACAGGGGCAGUUUUGUAGCGAAUGAGGUAUAUCUGAGGCAUAAUUAUUGCUAACUGAAAAUUUUUCUUUCAACACUUUUUAAAACAAAAUAAUUCAGGUGUAGCAUCACA
Small nuclear RNA from Fukomys damarensis (Damara mole-rat), 118 nucleotides. Its record names the gene U4. It matches the Rfam family "U4 spliceosomal RNA". From Rfam's summary of the family: U4 small nuclear RNA (U4 snRNA) is a component of the major U2-dependent spliceosome. Lineage: Eukaryota; Metazoa; Chordata; Mammalia; Rodentia; Bathyergidae. The record is from Ensembl.